Oryctolagus cuniculus (rabbit) is the source of this 779-nucleotide non-coding RNA. Lineage: Eukaryota; Metazoa; Chordata; Mammalia; Lagomorpha; Leporidae. The record is from RefSeq and is a predicted model, not a curated record.
AAAAAAAAAAAACUGCUUUAAAAACAUAAAUACUAUUUGAGGGGUACAUGCUGUGGCGCAGCGGGUUAAAGCCCUGGCCCACAGUGCAGGCAUCCCCGCCGUUGCAGUCUGGGCUGCUCCACUUCUGAUGCAGCUCCCUGCUAAAGCUCCUAGGAAAGCAGAAGUCGGCACAAGUGCUUGGGCCCCUGCACCCACGUGGGAGACCCAGGUGAUGCUCCUGGCUCCGGAUCAGCUCAGCUCCAGCCAUUGUGGCCAGCUGGUCUGGAGUUUCUAAAGGGACAUCAAUCAGAUACAGCCUGCUGGAAUAUACUGUCCAAUGCAUUCAUACAUCGGUUUCUCAGGAGGCUCUGAAAGCAGGGGACGUCUGUGGGAAGUUACACCGGGUUUUAAGAGCAGGGGAGACCUGGGCCCUGCUCUACCACUAGGGCGAUGCAGAACUGCAGCUCCGGCACUUUUACAUCAGGAGGGACUCGAGAAUGAACCCAGACACCCAGCAGCUGAUGACCAGAUCAAGAAACUGAUUUUAUAUAGAUGUAGUACGGAAUACUACUCAGCUGCAAAAAACAAUGAGAUCCUUUCUUGUGCAACAAAAUGGAUGCAACUGGAGACCAUUAUACUCAGCGAAAUAAGCCAGUCCCAAAGAGACACAUACCAUGUUUUCCCUGAUCUGUGGUAACAGAACCAGAAACGUAUAGGAGCGAAAAUCACACUUUGAGAUUUGAUGACUGUUUACAGCCCUUGUGUCCCCACCCCCUGGAUAAAGUUUUUUCUUCUUACUA